CGGGGGAAAGGGGGGGAUCUUCGGACCUCUCGCUAUCAGAUGAGCCCAUGUCAGAUUAGCUUGUUGGUGAGGUAAAGGCUCACCAAGGCGACGAUCUGUAACUGGUCUGAGAGGAUGAUCAGUCACACUGGAACUGAGACACGGUCCAGACUCCUACGGGAGGCAGCAGUGGGGAAUAUUGGACAAUGGGCGCAAGCCUGAUCCAGCCAUGCCGCGUGUGUGAAGAAGGCCUUAGGGUUGUAAAGCACUUUCAGUGGGGAGAAAGGUCAUUCACCUAAUACGUGAGUGAAUUGAUGUUACCCACAGAAGAAGCACCGGCUAACUCCGUGCCAGCAGCCGCGGUAAUACGGAGGGUGCAAGCGUUAAUCGGAAUUACUGGGCGUAAAGCGCACGUAGGUGGUUUGUUAAGCCAGCUGUGAAAUCCCCGGGCUCAACCUGGGCACUGCAGUUGGAACUGGCAAGCUAGAGUAGGG
This 473-nucleotide ribosomal RNA is filed under the name uncultured bacterium. Its description in RNAcentral is "bacterial SSU rRNA". It matches the Rfam family "Bacterial small subunit ribosomal RNA", at positions 197 to 651 of the family's 1533-position model. The record is from RNAcentral.